This 497-nucleotide ribosomal RNA is filed under the name uncultured bacterium. Its description in RNAcentral is "partial 16S ribosomal RNA". It matches the Rfam family "Bacterial small subunit ribosomal RNA", at positions 28 to 507 of the family's 1533-position model. The record is from RNAcentral.
GACGAACGCUGGCGGCGUGCCUAAUACAUGCAAGUUGAGCGCUGAAGGUUGGUCCUUGUACCAACUGGAUGAGCAGCGAACGGGUGAGUAACGCGUGGGGAAUCUGCCUUUGAGCGGGGGACAACAUUUGGAAGCGAAUGCUAAUACCGCAUAAAAACUUUAAACACAAGUUUUAAGUUUGAAAGAUGCAAUUGCAUCACUCAAAGAUGAUCCCGCGUUGUAUUAGCUAGUUGGUGAGGUAAAGGCUCACCAAGGCGAUGAUACAUAGCCGACCUGAGAGGAUGAUCGGCCGCAUUGGGAGUGAGACACGGCACAAACUCCUUCGGGAGGCGGCAGGAGGGAAUCUUCGGCAAUGGGCGAAAGUCUGACCGAGCAACGCCGCGUGAGUGAAGAAGGUUUUCGGAUCGUAAAACUCUGUUGGUAGAGAAGAACGUUGGUGAGAGUGGAAAGCUCAGCAAGUGACGGUAACUACCCAGAAAGGGACGGCUAACUACGUG